Molecule: non-coding RNA, 1884 nt
Organism: Macaca mulatta (Rhesus monkey)
Lineage: Eukaryota; Metazoa; Chordata; Mammalia; Primates; Cercopithecidae
Source: RefSeq, a predicted model, not a curated record
AUGCGUGUGCUUGUGGGUGAGGGACUGCAGAAAGGGAGAGUGCCGGGCGGGCUUAGUCGGAGAUUGAGGGCUGGGAAUCCGCUUCCGGGAGGGCACUGUCUAGUGCACUGGUAACCUGGCCUUGGCCGCCUAGCCCGAGAAGCCGAAUCUCCCUAAUCCCUGUGACCUGUGUCACCUCUGCAUCGCGGGGAGGGGAAGAAGUGGGGAGCAGUCUGGUGUCAGAUGGGCUGGCGCCGGAAGAGGGGGGCCACAGCGGGGACGAAAGGCGCCCCCACCCCGACUCCCCGGAAAUAUAAGCAAUUUGUAUUUUCCGAUCAGGUGGCGGGACUGGCUUCAUUGGGACAGCCCUAAGCCAGCUGCUGAAUGCCAGAGGCCACGAAGUGACGUUGGUCUCCCGACAGCCCGGGCCCGGCCGGAUCACGUGGGAUGAGCUGGCUGCGUCUGGGCUGCCGAGCUGCGAUGCCGCCGUCAACCUGGCCGGAGAGAACAUCCUCAACCCUCUCCGAAGGUCAGCCUGGGCCCUAAAGCUGAUACCCACUAGAGCACAGGGAGGAGAGUGUACCACUGAUGAGAACCUGUGAGCUAAGGAUGGAAUGAAACCUUCCAAAAAGAGGUUCUCCGCAGCCGCCUAGAGACCACCCAAUUGCUGGCUAAAGCCAUCACCAAAGCCCCACAACCCCCCAAGGCCUGGGUCUUAGUCACAGGUGUAGCUUACUACCAGCCCAGUCUGACUGCGGAGUAUGAUGAAGACAGCCCAGGAGGGGACUUUGACUUUUUCUCCAACCUCGUAACCAAAUGGGAAGCUGCAGCCAGGCUUCCUGGAGAUUCUACACGCCAGGUGGUGGUGCGCUCGGGUGAGAAACAAGGGCCUGGGUAUCAGACAGGGUUGGAAUGUCUUCUCUGGGCUGGGGAAGUGAUGGGAUUAGGAGAGCUGAUGGGAUUAGGAGAGCUGAGAUUACAGAGUGAGAGGAUGCUACCACUUCUAGCCAACCUGCAGAUGAGAAGGUGUGAAGUCUUAGAGAGCCAUACUGCUCACUUCUGUUACAGAGCCAAGUCAGCAUGGGGAGAGUGAGGAAGGGGAAACAGAAACCAGGAGGAGCAGUGGGGCUGCUUCAAGGCUGAGAGGACCUCUGUACCUUCCCUCUUGCCUGCUGUAGGGGUUGUACUGGGCCGUGGGGGUGGUGCCAUCGGCCACAUGCUGCUGCCCUUUCGGCUGGGCCUGGGGGGCCCCAUCGGCUCAGGCCACCAAUUCUUCCCCUGGAUACACAUCGGGGACCUGGCAGGAAUCCUGACCCAUGCUCUUGAAGCAAACCACGUGCACGGGGUCCUGAAUGGAGUGGCUCCAUCCUCCGCCACUAAUGCUGAGUUUGCCCAGGCUUUGGGUGCUGCCCUGGGCCACCGAGCCUUCAUCCCUGUCCCCAGCACUAUAGUGCAAGCUGUCUUUGGGCGAGAGCGUGCCAUCAUGCUGCUGGAGGGCCAGAACGUGAUCCCACGGCGAACACUGGCUACUGGCUACCAGUACUCCUUCCCAGAGCUAGGGGCUGCCUUAAAGGAAAUUGUAGCCUAAGUAGGUCAUGGCAAGGGCCUGAGGCCUGUCCCUCAUAGGCUUCCAGGUUAGGCACUGUGAAUAGGCUCAGCUCCUCUAGAGAGCUGAAGCCAUCUGGUUCUUAGAUUUCUCCCCUAGUCCUCUUUCCCAUUGUUCUGUUGCUCCACCUUAUUGUCUCAAGGCUGUAAUCUCAUCAGGUUGGGACAUUAAUCUUUUCAACUCCUUGCAAGAUUUUCUAGUUGGGUUUCUCUACAUGUCCUGCAGCUGCCCCACUUCUCCUUUAUGCUGUGUAGAGAAUGCUCUGCAGUUUAGGCAAUAAAGAUAAAUUAUCUCACUAA